GGGGCGACAACAUGUAGGGUGCGAAUGCGAAAGAGGGCGAACAUGAGUGGGCACAAAGGUGAUUGGGCAUGAACAGACCCGGAUUCUAGGAAACUUAAUUGUAUUUUUGAAUUUUAAACAACUAUUUUUAAGAAAAAUUCUUUAUUAAAGUAUAUAUUACAUACUUCCAAUAACAUAUCAGCAUCAAAUGAUAUCAUGUUUAACCACAAGAUGUCAACUUGCAUGUAUUUAAAACUUACAUGUAUUUAAAGUAUAUAUUCAAGAUGCAGAUCCAGGAUUUUCCAAAAAGAGGGUCCUGAGGCCCACGAAACUAGGCAAUGUUUGGACAUGUUAGAGUAGAACAUGUAAAAUAUUCUAUGCAUUAACAGUAACCUAAUAUGUUGCAGCACUGUAAAAAAAAAGGGGGGGCUAAAAUUGCUGGGUUUAAGUUUUUAAUUUUCUAAAAAUAAAAAUACACAUUUAAUUUUAUUUAUAUAUAUGUUGUGUACAAGUUGUAAUGUUGUACAAAUUACAAUUUGUACAGAAUUUUUGUACAAGUUAUCAGUGUUUUAUGACCUGCUGAACAAAAAUGGAUGAUGCAAGCACAGUCUUUUGCUCCGCAUAUUUCUGUCAAUUUUUCACAACUUCAUGAUACACUCUAAUACUGAGCAUUGAUACAAAAACAUUAUAAGACCUCACAAAGAUUUUGUAUAGAUAUGAAUAUGGUAUAAGGAAAAAAAUAAAAUUAGAAUUUAAACCAUUCAGGUAUCCUCAUUUCCAGUUUGAAGGCAAGGAGAAUAGCACUAAAUGUUAGGUUGACGUAUAUUUUUUUGAAUUUAAAACAUUACACUGGUACAUUGUAUAAGUUAAACCUGUAUCACCUGUUGCAAGAAGGUAGGUGUCAAAAAUCUUAUAACUUGUACAAAAACCCUGUACAAAUUAUAAUUUGUACAAACUUACAUCUUGUACACAACAUAUAUAUAUCUAUUCCAUGCAUGUACAUGCAUGUAUGGCAUGUAAUACAUGUAAUAUGCCUUAAGAGUUUUCCAGAUUAAUAGGUGACCUUUAGAAGUUAAUGUCUGUGUCAUUUUGGACUCUUGCGGACAGUUGUCUCAUUGCAAUCAAUCAAUCUUCUUUUUUAUAGCUUGUACAAUGUAUUAAUUACUGAUAGUAAAUUUUGAGAUGAAAACAUCAAUUUUUUUUAAAGGGUCUUACAGGAUCGAGGAACCUAUAAAUCAUGGUUAAUAGCACAAAUAAAUCAAUUUGAAGCCUGCAGAAGCAACCAAACUUGAACACAGGUCCUCAAACACCUUAACGCUAUUUGUCCGCCAUUACUGGAUAUCACACAGAUUCCCAUAAUAUUUUGACGUCAUAAAACAUAAUAUCUGACGCCACAAUGGAAAAGUGAUUGUUG
This 1393-nucleotide long non-coding RNA is filed under the name Mytilus galloprovincialis (Mediterranean mussel). Lineage: Eukaryota; Metazoa; Mollusca; Bivalvia; Mytilida; Mytilidae. The record is from RNAcentral.